AUUGAACGCUAGCGGGAUGCCUUACACAUGCAAGUCGAACGGCAGCACGGACUUCGGUCUGGUGGCGAGUGGCGAACGGGUGAGUAAUGUAUCGGAACGUGCCCAGUAGCGGGGGAUAACUACGCGAAAGCGUAGCUAAUACCGCAUACGCCCUACGGGGGAAAGCAGGGGAUCGCAAGACCUUGCACUAUUGGAGCGGCCGAUAUCGGAUUAGCUAGUUGGUGGGGUAACGGCUCACCAAGGCGACGAUCCGUAGCUGGUUUGAGAGGACGACCAGCCACACUGGGACUGAGACACGGCCCAGACUCCUACGGGAGGCAGCAGUGGGGAAUUUUGGACAAUGGGGGAAACCCUGAUCCAGCCAUCCCGCGUGUGCGAUGAAGGCCUUCGGGUUGUAAAGCACUUUUGGCAGGAAAGAAACGUCAUGGGUUAAUACCCCAUGAAACUGACGGUACCUGCAGAAUAAGC
RNAcentral lists this ribosomal RNA (468 nucleotides) under Achromobacter xylosoxidans. Its description in RNAcentral is "bacterial SSU rRNA". It matches the Rfam family "Bacterial small subunit ribosomal RNA", at positions 30 to 491 of the family's 1533-position model. Lineage: Bacteria; Pseudomonadati; Pseudomonadota; Betaproteobacteria; Burkholderiales; Alcaligenaceae. The record is from RNAcentral.